GGGAGCUUUUAUUUUGAAGGCUACGCCUUAAGAAAGCGCUAGGCGCGUGUCUCCAGGGUGAAUCCGAGGUGAGCGAUUGUUGAGAAGGACGCUGGACCAGAACUUCAUGUGAAACUGCAGUCGAUACAGAGGACGUUGUUUGUGAGGCUCUUGAUCCACGUGUCUGUCCUUUAAAAACCACGGGUCCUUUAAAACCUCGCAUUUGUCACCACGUAGGUGAAGCCUCAACGGGACGGUGGUCCACUCCGCUGAUCUUUUCGGUGGCUCCGAAAGGAAAAAAGUCCCUUUUAAUCCAAUUACUGCUCUUCACGAUGCUCGUGCCCUCCGAGACCAGCCGCGAGAUCUAUCAUUGGGAAACAAGUCAAAUGAAGCUGGGCGGCAAUGAAGGCCAUUAGAGAUAAGCUGAGCUGUUCUGCUACGCUGGAGCUGUGUGGUGGGAGGGAGUGCGCCGUCCAUGAAGACAAACGUUGGCGGACGCUCGGCAGGCGGCAAGAAUCAAAGACGGCUCUCAUCACCAUGGGCGCCAUCGCUACAGCCCCACAGCCUCUCGAUGGGAAAGCAGAGGCGGCAGAAACAGGAGUUACGGAUGGAGACGUGUGGGUUUGCUGUUUGCGUUCCAGACCAGACUCCAGGUUUCCCUAAUACAACAGCUGAAGUGUUCUGGGAACAUCUCAAACCAUUUGUCAUAACAGUUUUCAUAAGAGCUACUCUGCUGGGGGAUAAUGACAAAUGUACCCGAGGAGAGCAUAUGAAAGCGGAUGCCUGCU
Molecule: long non-coding RNA, 767 nt
Organism: Betta splendens (Siamese fighting fish)
Lineage: Eukaryota; Metazoa; Chordata; Actinopteri; Anabantiformes; Osphronemidae
Exons: 4
Source: RefSeq, a predicted model, not a curated record